AUUUUUCUAUCUAUGUAUAUUUGUAUCAAUGUGUAUUCAAAACGUGCAUUUCAUUAAUUUCAGUGAUUGUACACUUUUGUUUGUUUGUCAUUCAUUAGACCUUUAUUUAUGUUUUACUCAUUUCCUCAAAGGUUAACUGGAAGAGAUCCCAUACAGGGAUAAGUUCGCCUUUGUUGUAUUUAAUUUACUCUGUAACUGUGUUUUUCGUGUUUUUAUUUCUACGUACAAUAAAGUAUAUACAUACAUACAUACAUACAACUAUCUGUCUCACUAUGGCAAUAAUAUGCGCAAACGAUUGGCAUCUUGGCUAGGCACCUUGGGUGCUUAGCCAACACAAUUCAAGCUAUACAAUUCAUGGUGUGAUUUUCUGCAUAUGUUGCCAUAAGCGCAUGUUCUUUAUUUAUACCUGCAGUCAUUUACUAUCUCUUUCAUUUUCCAUUGCUGUGAAAGAGAUAAAAUACUUAAGAGGAAGAGUUAUAGGUUGGUAGAAAUAAUAAACAAAAUACUUAAUUCGCAAAACAAAACGUUCUAAGGAAUGGGCCUAAUGGGUAGUGACCCUGCCUAUGAAGCCGAUGGUCCUGGGGUCGAAUCCCGGUAAGGGCAUUUAUUUGUGUAAUGAGCACAUUUAUUUGUUCCUGAGUCGUGGAUGUUUUCUAUGUAUUUAAGUAUUUGUAUAUUAUACAUAAUUAUCGUUGUUUGAGUACCCACAACACAAGACUUCUUGACUUACCGUGGGACUCAAGUUAAUUUGUGUAAGAAUGUUCCUAUACUAUUUCUUUAAUGGCACUUAAGACCUCAAUUUCCAACAUUUUGAACAUUUUCCAAAAAAAAUAACUAUAGAAAAAUUAUAUCUAACUACUGAUCAUGCUCACAAAAUUUCACGAGACUCAGUUGAGAAUUGAGACCUGUAGAGGAGAACAUCCGGACAUACGAAAUCAGAUUGCCUGAGUCAAAACGGAGACCGUCGCUAACGUUUCGGUCUUAAUUAAUUUCCAAACAGGUGCAAGACACAGAUAAACAGGUGAGAGAAAUAAAAAAAACCGGCCAAGUGCGAGUCGGACUCGCACAGGAAGGGUUCCGUACUAUUAUCUAUAAAAACGGUCACCCAUCCAAGUACUGACCCCGCCCGACGUUGCUUAACUUCGGUGAUUGGCUGAGAACCUCGAGAUUGGAAAUAAAUAUUUAUUUUAUUCUGUUUUUAGUAUUUUUUGUUAUGGCGGCAAGAGAAAUAUAUCAUCUGUGAAAAUUUCAAGUGUCUAACUAUCACGGUUCAUGAGAUACAGCCUGGUGACAGACGGACGGACGGACGGGCAGCGGAGUCUUAGUAAUAGGGUCCCGUUUUACCUUUUAGGUACGAAACCUUAAUAAACCGAAAAAGUGAUAACCUCUGUUUAGAAUGUGGUUAAAACAACGCUCCUUCUACAGUCGGAUAUUUUUUUUUACAUAUAUUUAUCAUCAAGAACAUUUUGUUACAAAAAAGAAUAACUUCUGGAUCAAUAAACAUCUUUUAACUUUUUGCUCAUGUACAAGUCAGGAUUCGAACCCACGACCACAUUGGUAUUGGUACGGCAUAGUAACCUCUACAUCUAGUAACCUACCACUCGGGCAAUAUAAAGGCGUAAAUAGGUACGUCGCUAUUCGACAAUAGAUGGCGUUGCGUAACAAUUCCAAAAACAAUAGAUGGCGCUAGUUUGUGAUUAUUGACAAUCAAAUAGAUCUUAGCAGUGACAGCUACUGUGCUUUUUCCGAUUUAAUUAAGCGAAGUUUUUAAUCAAACCGAUUUAUGGGACUAUUAAUUUACAACUAAUUAAGAUGUUAUUUGUUCGUCAUCUUUAUAUCUGUGGGUGGAACCUGGAACACUCGUGUUAUCGGAUGUUUUUUGUGCAACAGUGACAGUGUUUUGUUUGUUUACUUUCAUGUAGCUUGUUUUUGAAACGCAAUGUUUCAUUUGAAUUGUCAUUCGCUAAACUAAUUAAGAACAUAGAAAAGAGAAUGGUUAAUUAUAACGUCAGAUAAAAAUCGGCCAUGAGAUUUCAACAAAAUAAGAAGCGCAGAGGAGGAGUCCCCCGCCGUUGCGUGGGGAUGCUCCACGAUGCAUCCUUGAAGUGCCCUCUUGCCUGGCACGCACACUGAAGCCAUGUACCUGCAACUCAAUCACGUUUCAUGGAAGAAAAGGAAUAAAAGCCACUGCCAGCAAAUUGAUGAGGUACCGAAGGAGGUGCAUCUCAGGCUCUCGUCGCUGCUGAGCUUCGAGGUUGUCGCUGUGGCGUUCACACGGUUUGUCAUACGACAAGGUGCAUUGCCCUUGGUCGUAUCAAUACAGGUACAAGGUCAAAUUUCAUUUUUUAUUCAUUUAAUUAUUGCUCAUUGUUACUUUCAAGCCAGAAUGUCCAUGGCAGAACACUAGUAUUUUUUUUUUUAUAUGUUAUAAAGUCACGUUUUCAACUCAACUCACAUUCCAAACUAUAGUCAAAUGAUAUUGUAAUCAAUUAGAAUAAUUUCAAUAAUUUCAAUGUAAACAUGUUAUGUUUUGCUUAUCAACAUGUCACUCAUUCCUGAGCAUAGAGGCUAUGUUAAUUAAUGACUAAAGGGUGCAGAAUGUAUUGUCAAUUUAGUCAAUUGGAAUUCAGAGUGGUAAGAUUGACCGUCUCAUUGUCAACUUGGGCAACUUGUGUGUAUUAGCUAUAGAAUAUAGCAACUUGUAAGGAAUAGUUCAUAAGUCAUAUCUUUUGUAUUGCCCAUGUUUAUUCAAUGUUCAAGUAUAUUCUUUACUAUAGGGUAGAUAAAGUUUAUUGUACCAUUGUGUGUGAUCAUUACUAGGUACUGAUUACUCUUUAAUAUUAUAAGACAUUAUUUUAUAAGACUUUAAUAUUAUAAGACAUAAUAUUUGGUCAUGUGAUCAUCACUAUUAUUUAUCAAAAGUUAAGGGAUAACUUCUUGAUAAAGACUCAUAUUCAUCGCUCAACUCUAGGGGCCGCCCCGCAGGAAUGUUCAUGCCAAAUGGCCUAGAAUCCAAGGCUCAAUGUAAUUAAAAACAUUCGAGACUGAACUGCAACUGGAGUGGUCAGUCCUUCAUUCAUUCAUUAAUUUCAUUCGAUGCCCUGUGACAUUGGUUCGUCCUUGGCAUCGCCCCUGUUCAAAUCGGAUGCUCGACGCGAGCGCACGUGCGCAUGAAGCGCACCCCUGUCUGUUCAAAUCCGACACUCGACGCGAGUGCACGCGCCCGGGGCGCGCAGGUGGAACGCUGGUAGGUCAACCAGCGGUCAUCGUUGUCGUAUACUAAAACCGUGGCGGUCCGUACAGUAGAGCGAACUAGAUUACGUUAGGUACGUGUUAGCUUGUAAUACCUAUAAAUAAAUGCAAUCAGUUUGGUAAACGAAAUACAUAAUCACUUAGUCAAGACUUAGUUUCAUUCGAAGUGUCCACGUGCUUAACCCAACCUAGGCAGGUUAUCGCAUCAUCAGCAGCCGCACGGGGCGGCUAUACUACACACGGCUGGCCUGGGCGCCGGCGCCGCCAUCAGAUAGCUUAUGAAUUAGGGCAUAAAUUUCAAGCAUAGGUAAAUGUUACAGAGAAUUUUACACAAAUACUGAAGAAUUAAUAACGAAGAUAAAAAUUGUCUUCAAAAAUUUACUUUUUUUUCACAUUUUAUCUUUUUUUUUUCCUUAAAUGACAUUACAGGAUAUCAGCUAAAAGCUGACAUCAAAAUAAUAGCCCUAGUUAAGAGGCCUUAUUCCUACAGACGAGCGUAUUUUGUAAAAUCCUUCCUUUUCAUUCAAGAUUACGACGUAACUAUUAGUAUUUAUUCAAAAACCGGCCAAGAGCAUGUCGGGCCACGCUCAGUGUAGGGUUCCGUAGUUACUCUUCCAUCACAAUAAGCUAAACUGGAGCUCAGGAUGAAACGGUACCUUUCACCCGAGUUAAACAAAUAGGCAAAUUUGCAUAAUCAGUACCUAAUUAAAGUAAGUCUUUUUACUAUGAAGGGAAAACUUUUUGCGAUAACUCAAAAACAGCUAAACUGACCAUGUCCGCUAUAGUUUUCAUUUAAUGUCUUUCUUAAGUUCUACUUCCACGAUUUUUUUCAUAUUUUUUGGACCUAUGGUUCAAAAGUUAGAGGGGGGGGGGACACAUUUAUUUUUUCUUUCGGAGCGAUUAUCUCCCAAUAUAUUCACUUUAUCAAAAAAUGUUUCUUGAAAACCCCUAUUAGUUUUGAAAGACCUUUCCAACGAUACCCCACUCUCUAGGGUUAAAGCGAAAAAAAAAUUUCACCCCCACUUUACGUGUAGGGGAGGUACACUAAAAAAAAAAAAUUUUUUAGAUUUUAUUGUACGACUUUGUCGGCUUUAUUGAUUUAUAUAUCCAUGCCAAAUUUCAGCUUUCUAGCACUAACGACCACGGAGCAAAGCCUCGGACAGACAGACAGACAGACAGACAGACGGACAUGGCGAAACUAUAAGGGUUCCUAGUUGACUACGGAACCCUAA
Molecule: long non-coding RNA, 4484 nt
Organism: Cydia pomonella (codling moth)
Lineage: Eukaryota; Metazoa; Arthropoda; Insecta; Lepidoptera; Tortricidae
Exons: 3
Source: RefSeq, a predicted model, not a curated record